AACUGAUACUACCUGCGGGAACCUGCGGAGGGAUCAUUACUGAAGAUUAUAGAGUCCUGAGACUGCGUUCAAAAUUGGCGUGUGCUCGGCUCUUACUCUUUUAUCCACACACACCUUUGUGCACCAUGGGGACCGUUAAGAAAGUCCCCCUUUUCACAUAAAAACCAAGUUAUAAUGCAUGGCUUUAUAAUGCUCUACGGAGUAAUAAAAAAACAACUUUUAACAAUGGAUCUCUAGAUC
RNAcentral lists this unclassified non-coding RNA (240 nucleotides) under soil metagenome. Its description in RNAcentral is "partial contains 5.8S ribosomal RNA, internal transcribed spacer 2, and large subunit ribosomal RNA". The record is from RNAcentral.